CGAAUGCUGACAUAAGUAACGAUAAAGCGGGUGAAAAGCCCGCUCGCCGGAAGACCAAGGGUUCCUGUCCAACGUUAAUCGGGGCAGGGUGAGUCGACCCCUAAGGCGAGGCCGAAAGGCGUAGUCGAUGGGAAACAGGUUAAUAUUCCUGUACUUGGUGUUACUGCGAAGGGGGGACGGAGAAGGCUAUGUUGGCCGGGCGACGGUUGUCCCGGUUUAAGCGUGUAGGCUGGUUUUCCAGGCAAAUCCGGAAAAUCAAGGCUGAGGCGUGAUGACGAGGCACUACGGUGCUGAAGCAACAAAUGCCCUGCUUCCAGGAAAAGCCUCUAAGCAUCAGGUAACAUCAAAUCGUACCCCAAACCGACACAGGUGGUCAGGUAGAGAAUACCAAGGCGCUUGAGAGAACUCGGGUGAAGGAACUAGGCAAAAUGGUGCCGUAACUUCGGGAGAAGGCACGCUGAUAUGUAGGUGAAGCGACUUGCUCGUGGAGCUGAAAUCAGUCGAAGAUACCAGCUGG
This 517-nucleotide ribosomal RNA is filed under the name Escherichia coli. RNAcentral's name for it is "partial 23S ribosomal RNA". It matches the Rfam family "Bacterial large subunit ribosomal RNA", at positions 1291 to 1793 of the family's 2925-position model. The record is from RNAcentral. Lineage: Bacteria; Pseudomonadati; Pseudomonadota; Gammaproteobacteria; Enterobacterales; Enterobacteriaceae.